This 254-nucleotide ribosomal RNA is filed under the name uncultured bacterium. RNAcentral's name for it is "partial 16S ribosomal RNA". It matches the Rfam family "Bacterial small subunit ribosomal RNA", at positions 524 to 776 of the family's 1533-position model. The record is from RNAcentral.
UACGGAGGGUGCGAGCGUUGUCCGGAAUCAUUGGGCGUAAAGGGCGCGUAGGCGGUCAGCACAAGUCAGUUGUGAAAUCUCCGGGCUUAACCCGGAAAGGUCAACUGAUACUGUGCGACUAGAGUGCGGAAGGGGCAACUGGAAUUCUCGGUGUAGCGGUGAAAUGCGUAGAUAUCGAGAGGAACACCUGCGGCGAAGGCGGGUUGCUGGGCCGACACUGACGCUGAUGCGCGAAAGCCAGGGGAGCGAACGGG